GACGAACGCUGGCGGCGUGCCUAAUACAUGCAAGUCGAACGCAGUGGGGACGGGUGAGUAACACGUGGGUAACCUCCCAUCAGAGGGGAUAAAACUUGGAAACAGGUGCUAAACCGAUACUGAUGGAUGAACCCGGGGUGCAUUAGCUAGUUGGGGAGGUAAAGGCUCACCAAGGGCACGAUGCAUAGCGGACCUGAGGGGGGGAUCGGCCACACUGGGCCUGAAACACGGCCCAGACUCCUACGGGAGGCAGCAGUAGGGAAUCUUCGGCAAUGGACGAAAGUCUGACCGAGCAACGCCGCGGAAGUGAAGAAGGUUUUCGGAUCGUAAAACUCUGUUGUUAGAGAAGCGGUAUCUAACCAGAAAGCCACGGCUAACUACGUGCCAGCAGCCGCGGUAAUUC
Molecule: ribosomal RNA, 403 nt
Filed under: uncultured bacterium
Lineage: Bacteria
Description: partial 16S ribosomal RNA
Rfam family: Bacterial small subunit ribosomal RNA
Source: RNAcentral